AUUGAACGCUGGCGGCAUGCCUUACACAUGCAAGUCGAACGGCAGCACGGGUGCUUGCACCUGGUGGCGAGUGGCGAACGGGUGAGUAAUAUAUCGGAACGUACCUUAUUGUGGGGGAUAACGCAGCGAAAGCUGUGCUAAUACCGCAUAAUCCCUUAGGGGGAAAGCGGGGGACCGUAAGGCCUCGCGCAAUUAGAGCGGCCGAUACCUGAUUAGCUAGUUGGUGAGGUAAAGGCUCACCAAGGCGACGAUCAGUAGCUGGUCUGAGAGGACGAUCAGCCACCCUGGGACUGAGACACGGCCCAGACUCCUACGGGAUGCAGCAGUGUGGAAUUUUUGACAAUGGGGGCAACCCUGAUCCAGCAAUGCCGCGUGAGUGAAGAAGGCCUUCGGUUUGUAAAGCUCUUUUGUCAGGGAAGAAACAGCAGCUCUAACACAGUAUGCGAAUGACGGUACCUGAAGAAUAAGCACCGGCUAACUACGUGCCAGCCGCCGCCGUAA
RNAcentral lists this ribosomal RNA (501 nucleotides) under uncultured bacterium. RNAcentral describes it as "partial 16S ribosomal RNA". It matches the Rfam family "Bacterial small subunit ribosomal RNA", at positions 30 to 523 of the family's 1533-position model. The record is from RNAcentral.